Mytilus trossulus (common blue mussel) is the source of this 799-nucleotide long non-coding RNA. RefSeq lists it as uncharacterized. The record is from RefSeq and is a predicted model, not a curated record. Lineage: Eukaryota; Metazoa; Mollusca; Bivalvia; Mytilida; Mytilidae. The transcript is spliced from 3 exons.
UUAGUGACAGCGAGUGGUACAAGAAGGUCCAGUUUAUUACUUCGUUGGCUGGAACACAUCUAUUCCGGGAUUUGCAGUCAGAAGCAGCAAAGACCAUACUCGACAUUGUCAAGACACCGUCAGCCAAGAAAUGACGAGACGUCAUUUGACAGCUGGGGGGAGUAUGUGGUAGACUGUAUUUUAUAGGUUUUACAGUAAUUGUGUAUAUUUUUAUAUUUAGUUUAUUGUGUUAUAUUUUGUAUAUUAUAUGACUUAUAUUGGGUAUAGUAUACUAAUUACAGAUUGUAAUUAGUUGAUUAGUCUAUAUAUAUGCUUUAUUCAUUUUAUUUACGUAUUUGACAGUUGGACUUAUUGACAUACGACAUUUUCUACUGGUUUGGGUAACUUUGGUUUGACUGUAGUUUACUUCAAAGGUUUUCUUUUUAUGCUUCGGUGGACCGCACACUUUCUUUAUUUCUAUUGGUCAUUAUAUUUUGGCGCUAUAUUUCUUUUGUUCUUUUAUGCUGGUCAUCACUUUUCUAUAUACUGGUGGACAUAUUGAUACAUGCUUGAAGAAAUUCUAAGUUUGAACCUAUAUUCAUUUUUAGUUUUCUCUAUAUUCUAUAUUCAGGUAUAUUUAAUGUAAUCCUGGGAUGAUGUAAAUCAAUUUCCAUAGAUAUAAAUCAGGAGGCCUUUGCACCUCAUGCGAGGGUACGUUUUAUGUAUAUUUGUUAUUAUCCUGAAAACUAGUCCAGAAAUAAAAGGAACCAUCUUAAAGAAAGUAUUGUGUUUAUUUAAGCCCUAGAAAGUGCUACUACAA